CCACACUGACCGAUUGUGUAUCACUAAGUGAUUAGGUAGGUGGACGGUCCGACGAGAACUUCAACACGACCCAAGGAGAAUUUUAUCUUUGGGUGGGGACACCUAAUGACACAAUAUUUAUAUACCUACAUAUAAAAUAUUGACUCUUAACUUGUAUCGGUUUAUGCAUUGGACUUUCUCUUCUGCUUCCGAACAAACUGAAUGUGUCAUCGAGUAAUUCAUGGAAUCGCUUGCGCAUCUUCGAGACGUUCGUCGGCUGCCCGUCAUCGAUGUCCCCAUCAUCCAAGCCUUGCUGUUGCAUGCGAUGUUUGUGUAGAUUCCAAACAACCGGGCCUAUCACGCCAGGAUCUUCUGACGCACCUAGGCUUCCGUGUCGGCUGAUUGUAAACUCGUCCGGGUCGUGCAUGUCUAAAUGAUGCACGCUCAGGGGCUCCAGUACUUUGUUCAACGGCUCGGGAUUAUUGCCUCUAAAAUAUUUAUAUUUACAUGUCAGUAAAGUAUUGAUUUGUUUUCAUUAUAAAACAUCCAACAUACUUUGGGAACGCUUUUACGGACGGCAUGGAUAAAUAUGAUUUAGGGCUGAUAACACCUGGAUCAUGAUGUCCAACGUAGAUAGCGUCGCUUAAUGUACUACUACUGCUACUUGUGGAUAAAUUACUUGGCGCUACAUUUAAUGGCACCGUUUUGUUGACGGCGGCUUUCGGGCGCUGAAGUUUGCGCGGUUUUCCGAGUGCCAUCAGGGGCGAUAUGUCGACACUGCUAUUACUGCAAUGAAACAAAACUCGAUAGCUUGUUAUGUAUGCGUUAAUGAUCAACAUUGUGUAUGGUAUACCUCGACAAAGUUGAUGAACUGAGACCGCUAUUAGGGCGAAUAUUUGUAAGUGUUUCUGUUGAUGCUUGUGUUCGGAAGUUAAUAUACGUAGGGGAUGGAUUCUGA
Dalotia coriaria is the source of this 937-nucleotide long non-coding RNA. RefSeq lists it as uncharacterized. The record is from RefSeq and is a predicted model, not a curated record. The transcript has 2 exons. Lineage: Eukaryota; Metazoa; Arthropoda; Insecta; Coleoptera; Staphylinidae.